UCCGUGAGGCGGUGCACUUGAUGCACGC
This 28-nucleotide small RNA is filed under the name Bombyx mori (domestic silkworm). Its description in RNAcentral is "ovarian small RNA-27616". The record is from RNAcentral. Lineage: Eukaryota; Metazoa; Arthropoda; Insecta; Lepidoptera; Bombycidae.